Castor canadensis (American beaver) is the source of this 528-nucleotide non-coding RNA. The record is from the annotation of a RefSeq genome assembly. Lineage: Eukaryota; Metazoa; Chordata; Mammalia; Rodentia; Castoridae.
AUGAGACUGUUUGGUCUUCUCCUGUGUCUGUUGACAGCUCCCCAAGGUGUCCUGUCCCAGGUGCAGCUGCAGGAGUCAGGAUCUGGCCUGGUGAAGCCCUCACAGACCCUGUCCCUCACCUGUGCUGUCUCUGGUUACUCCAUUACCAGUGAUUACUACUGGAGCUGUAUCUGCCAGCCUCUAGGGAAGAGCCUGAAGUGGAUGGCGUACAUAAGUUAUGGUGGAAGCAAUUACUACAGCACAUCCCUCAAAAGGGACGUCUCCAUCACCAGAGACACGUCCAAGAACCAGUUCUCCCUGCAGCUGAGCUCUGUGACCACAGAGGACACAGCUGUGUAUUACUGUGCAAUAGGCACCGUGAGGAGACUUCAGUGGAAACUCCACAGAGGGCAGUAUUUGGAGCUUCAGGAGAAGAAAGAGACUCCAUACUUUAAGACCUACCUGAGAGAAGAGACUUCCUAUAAGCACAAGCCUCCCCUACAUAUUGACCAAGUUGUGGAAGAUGCUGCAUCACAGCCGAGGUCAUGA